This 910-nucleotide long non-coding RNA is filed under the name Homo sapiens (human). RNAcentral's name for it is "long intergenic non-protein coding RNA 1584". Lineage: Eukaryota; Metazoa; Chordata; Mammalia; Primates; Hominidae. The record is from RNAcentral.
UGAGUGUGAAGACCUGAGGUAUCAGGGGUAGGGGUUGCUCUGCUUGUGUAAGUCCCAUAGUGUGAAGGCCAGAGAACCAAGAGAUGGUCAAGAAGAGAGAGAGCAUCACGACCUGUGCAGACUCCCCAGCAUCAUAACAGGAAGGUCCCACGAUCACGAGCACAUUGCCUUCAGCAUCCAGCACUGAAUAUGGUGAAUUGCACUCUGAAGAGCUUCCUAAGCUUGUAAGAAAGUGAUUCUGAAAAGCUCAACAUUUUGGUAGAAUGGAGAGAUUUGACAUUGCUUCUGCUCCAAAAGCAAAAGACUUGGGCCUGGCGUAAAGGAGAUGGGACUCACACCCAAGAGGAUGCAUUUCCAUACACCCAUUUCUGAAAUAUGAAGAGGUGUCCAGUCUGUUUGAUUCAUAGCUGCCUGUUCCACAACUGCAGAUACAGUAAUUGAUAACCGAGACCAAGUUCUCAUCCCCAUCUCCCAGGGCUGGAACUGGGGCUGUGUUUGGUUCUCAUAAGAUCAGUUCCAGUUUUAGAAACUGAGUAAAUUGUGGAGUAAAUAUUGCCAAGUGAUGGCUUUCUGCUGUAGGCGUGGGUCGCUGUUGGCCAUUUGCCUCAGCAUAUCACCAGCAAUGCACCUCAUUGCAUCACUGCAUUUCCAAUUACACCUCAAAGCACCACUGGUCCCCUGUCCACCCUCUGCCCUGCAGAGGUGGGUGUUCAGGGAGACAGAUCCAAAAUCUGGGCUCAGAAGAUGGAAAUGCCAACUGCUCUCAAUUUGAGAGUGGGGAUGAGACUUUUUGACUCAACUCUGGUUAAUUCAGCCAUGCUGUCAGAGCUGCUUUGAUGCAAGGACAUCUGAAUGCUAUCUGAAUGCUGCCCCUAAAAUAACAAAUUAAAAACAACAACAACAACAAAAA